AGCUCCAAUAGCGUAUAUUAAAGUUGUUGUGGUUAAAAAGCUCGUAGUUGAAUUUCUGCAUUGGGGCACCGGUCCGCCCUUGGGGUGAGAAUCUGGCUGUCCUGUGCAUCUUCUUGGAGAACGCUAUUGCAUUUAACUAUGUGAUUGAGGAAACCAGGACUUUUACUUUGAGGAAAUUAGAGUGUUUCAAGCAGGCUCAUGCUUGAAUACAUUAGCAUGGAAUAAUAAGAUAGGACCUUGGUUCUAUGUUUUGGUUCGUAGAGCUAAGGUAAUGAUUAAUAGGGAUAGUUGGGGGCAUUCGUAUUUAACUGUCAGAGGUGAAAUUCUUGGAUUUGUUAAAGACGGACUAAUGCGAAAGCACUUGCCAAGGAUGUUU
This 376-nucleotide ribosomal RNA is filed under the name uncultured eukaryote. RNAcentral's name for it is "SSU rRNA". It matches the Rfam family "Eukaryotic small subunit ribosomal RNA", at positions 587 to 969 of the family's 1831-position model. The record is from RNAcentral.